This 2926-nucleotide ribosomal RNA is filed under the name Salmonella enterica. RNAcentral describes it as "23S ribosomal RNA". It matches the Rfam family "Bacterial large subunit ribosomal RNA". Lineage: Bacteria; Pseudomonadati; Pseudomonadota; Gammaproteobacteria; Enterobacterales; Enterobacteriaceae. The record is from RNAcentral.
GGGUUGUGAGGUUAAGCGACUAAGCGUACACGGUGGAUGCCCUGGCAGUCAGAGGCGAUGAAGGACGUGCUAAUCUGCGAUAAGCGCCGGUAAGGUGAUAUGAACCGUUAUAACCGGCGAUUUCCGAAUGGGGAAACCCAGUGUGACUCGUCACACUAUCAUUAACUGAAUCCAUAGGUUAAUGAGGCGAACCGGGGGAACUGAAACAUCUAAGUACCCCGAGGAAAAGAAAUCAACCGAGAUUCCCCCAGUAGCGGCGAGCGAACGGGGAGGAGCCCAGAGCCUGAAUCAGCAUGUGUGUUAGUGGAAGCGUCUGGAAAGGCGCGCGAUACAGGGUGACAGCCCCGUACACAAAAGCGCAUGUGCUGUGAGCUCGAUGAGUAGGGCGGGACACGUGGUAUCCUGUCUGAAUAUGGGGGGACCAUCCUCCAAGGCUAAAUACUCCUGACUGACCGAUAGUGAACCAGUACCGUGAGGGAAAGGCGAAAAGAACCCCGGCGAGGGGAGUGAAAAAGAACCUGAAACCGUGUACGUACAAGCAGUGGGAGCACCCUUUUGGGUGUGACUGCGUACCUUUUGUAUAAUGGGUCAGCGACUUAUAUUCUGUAGCAAGGUUAACCGUAUAGGGGAGCCGGAGGGAAACCGAGUCUUAACCGGGCGUUAAGUUGCAGGGUAUAGACCCGAAACCCGGUGAUCUAGCCAUGGGCAGGUUGAAGGUUGGGUAACACUAACUGGAGGACCGAACCGACUAAUGUUGAAAAAUUAGCGGAUGACCUGUGGCUGGGGGUGAAAGGCCAAUCAAACCGGGAGAUAGCUGGUUCUCCCCGAAAGCUAUUUAGGUAGCGCCUCGUGAAUUCAUCUCCGGGGGUAGAGCACUGUUUCGGCUAGGGGGCCAUCCCGGCUUACCAACCCGAUGCAAACUGCGAAUACCGGAGAAUGUUAUCACGGGAGACACACGGCGGGUGCUAACGUCCGUCGUGAAGAGGGAAACAACCCAGACCGCCAGCUAAGGUCCCAAAGUCAUGGUUAAGUGGGAAACGAUGUGGGAAGGCCCAGACAGCCAGGAUGUUGGCUUAGAAGCAGCCAUCAUUUAAAGAAAGCGUAAUAGCUCACUGGUCGAGUCGGCCUGCGCGGAAGAUGUAACGGGGCUAAACCAUGCACCGAAGCUGCGGCAGCGACACUAUGUGUUGUUGGGUAGGGGAGCGUUCUGUAAGCCUGUGAAGGUGGCCUGUGAGGGUUGCUGGAGGUAUCAGAAGUGCGAAUGCUGACAUAAGUAACGAUAAAGCGGGUGAAAAGCCCGCUCGCCGGAAGACCAAGGGUUCCUGUCCAACGUUAAUCGGGGCAGGGUGAGUCGACCCCUAAGGCGAGGCCGAAAGGCGUAGUCGAUGGGAAACGGGUUAAUAUUCCCGUACUUGGUGUUACUGCGAAGGGGGGACGGAGAAGGCUAUGUUGGCCGGGCGACGGUUGUCCCGGUUUAAGCGUGUAGGUGUGUGUUCCAGGUAAAUCCGGUUCACUUUAACACUGAGGCGUGAUGACGAGGCACUACGGUGCUGAAGCAACAAAUGCCCUGCUUCCAGGAAAAGCCUCUAAGCAUCAGGUAACAUCAAAUCGUACCCCAAACCGACACAGGUGGUCAGGUAGAGAAUACCAAGGCGCUUGAGAGAACUCGGGUGAAGGAACUAGGCAAAAUGGUGCCGUAACUUCGGGAGAAGGCACGCUGACACGUAGGUGAAGUGAUUUACUCAUGGAGCUGAAGUCAGUCGAAGAUACCAGCUGGCUGCAACUGUUUAUUAAAAACACAGCACUGUGCAAACACGAAAGUGGACGUAUACGGUGUGACGCCUGCCCGGUGCCGGAAGGUUAAUUGAUGGGGUCAGCGCAAGCGAAGCUCCUGAUCGAAGCCCCGGUAAACGGCGGCCGUAACUAUAACGGUCCUAAGGUAGCGAAAUUCCUUGUCGGGUAAGUUCCGACCUGCACGAAUGGCGUAAUGAUGGCCAGGCUGUCUCCACCCGAGACUCAGUGAAAUUGAACUCGCUGUGAAGAUGCAGUGUACCCGCGGCAAGACGGAAAGACCCCGUGAACCUUUACUAUAGCUUGACACUGAACAUUGAGCCUUGAUGUGUAGGAUAGGUGGGAGGCUUUGAAGUGUGGACGCCAGUCUGCAUGGAGCCGGCCUUGAAAUACCACCCUUUAAUGUUUGAUGUUCUAACGUGGACCCGUGAUCCGGGUUGCGGACAGUGUCUGGUGGGUAGUUUGACUGGGGCGGUCUCCUCCUAAAGAGUAACGGAGGAGCACGAAGGUUGGCUAAUCCUGGUCGGACAUCAGGAGGUUAGUGCAAUGGCAUAAGCCAGCUUGACUGCGAGCGUGACGGCGCGAGCAGGUGCGAAAGCAGGUCAUAGUGAUCCGGUGGUUCUGAAUGGAAGGGCCAUCGCUCAACGGAUAAAAGGUACUCCGGGGAUAACAGGCUGAUACCGCCCAAGAGUUCAUAUCGACGGCGGUGUUUGGCACCUCGAUGUCGGCUCAUCACAUCCUGGGGCUGAAGUAGGUCCCAAGGGUAUGGCUGUUCGCCAUUUAAAGUGGUACGCGAGCUGGGUUUAGAACGUCGUGAGACAGUUCGGUCCCUAUCUGCCGUGGGCGCUGGAGAACUGAGGGGGGCUGCUCCUAGUACGAGAGGACCGGAGUGGACGCAUCACUGGUGUUCGGGUUGUCAUGCCAAUGGCACUGCCCGGUAGCUAAAUGCGGAAGAGAUAAGUGCUGAAAGCAUCUAAGCACGAAACUUGCCCCGAGAUGAGUUCUCCCUGAGACUUAAAGUCUCCUGAAGGAACGUUGAAGACGACGACGUUGAUAGGCCGGGUGUGUAAGCGCAGCGAUGCGUUGAGCUAACCGGUACUAAUGAACCGUGAGGCUUAACCUUACAACGCCGAAG